RNAcentral lists this ribosomal RNA (615 nucleotides) under uncultured bacterium. Its description in RNAcentral is "bacterial SSU rRNA". The stretch from base 1 to 537 matches the Rfam family "Bacterial small subunit ribosomal RNA", at positions 338 to 873 of the family's 1533-position model. The record is from RNAcentral.
CCUACGGGAGGCAGCAGUAAGGAAUAUUGGUCAAUGGGCGCAAGCCUGAACCAGCCAUGCCGCGUGCAGGAUGACGGCCCUCUGGGUUGUAAACUGCUUUUAUACGGGAAGAACAGCAUCUACGUGUAGGUGUUUGACGGUACUGUAAGAAUAAGGACCGGCUAACUUCGUGCCAGCAGCCGCGGUAAUACGAAGGGUCCAAGCGUUAUCCGGAUUUAUUGGGUUUAAAGGGUGCGUAGGCGGCUUUUUAAGUCAGUGGUGAAAGCCUGAUGCUCAACAUCAGAACUGCCAUUGAUACUGAAGAGCUUGAGUACAGUUGAGGUUGGCGGAAUGUGUCAUGUAGCGGUGAAAUGCUUAGAUAUGACACAGAACACCGAUUGCGAAGGCAGCUAGCUAAGCUGUUACUGACGCUGAUGCACGAAAGCGUGGGGAGCAAACAGGAUUAGAUACCCUGGUAGUCCACGCCCUAAACGUUGAUAACUCGUUGUUAGCGAUAUACUGUUAGCGACCAAGCGAAAGCAUUAAGUUAUCCUAACCGUGGUAGUUAGUUCGUCGAGAGUAGAAGACANAGAGUUAGAGGCGNGAGAGNGCGACGGACGACGACGAGGGAGGAGG